RNAcentral lists this microRNA (22 nucleotides) under Cavia porcellus (domestic guinea pig). RNAcentral describes it as "cpo-miR-30b-3p". Its record names the gene cpo-miR-30b-3p. The record is from miRBase by way of RNAcentral. Lineage: Eukaryota; Metazoa; Chordata; Mammalia; Rodentia; Caviidae.
CUGGGAGGUGGGUGUUUACUUC